CCGAUCUCGAAAACCUGUCCCAGUUCGGACUGGAGUCUGCAACCCGACUCCACGAAGUUGGAUUCGCUAGUAAUCGCGCAUCAGCCAUGGCGCGGUGAAUACGUUCCCGGGCCUUGUACACACCGCCCGUCAAGCCAUGGGAGCCGGGGGCGCCUGAAGUCCGGGACCGCGAGGACCGGCCUAGGGCGAAACUGGUAACUGGGGCUAAGUCGUAACAAGGUAGC
RNAcentral lists this ribosomal RNA (224 nucleotides) under uncultured bacterium. RNAcentral's name for it is "partial 16S ribosomal RNA". It matches the Rfam family "Bacterial small subunit ribosomal RNA", at positions 1268 to 1500 of the family's 1533-position model. The record is from RNAcentral.